Molecule: long non-coding RNA, 583 nt
Filed under: Heterocephalus glaber (naked mole-rat)
Lineage: Eukaryota; Metazoa; Chordata; Mammalia; Rodentia; Bathyergidae
Description: lncRNA (ENSHGLG00100044856.1)
Source: RNAcentral
UGUGUCUGGUUACGGGUUCCCUAGAAGGAGACGUCUUUGUGUGGAACCCAGCCCUGGACUGUUUACCUCACAAACGGUGCUACCACAGCCUUGGGUGCUCCUGCAGGCAAAGCGCAGAGCAUCCUGGGAAAUGUAGUUCCCAUCCGCCUUAUAACUCAGGGGGCCCUUUGUCUCUUCCAGUGGGAGCCUGUGUUGCCUGCUGUGGCCUUGACUGCCUGGGCUCAACCAGUCCUGCCUCAGCCUGCAGAGUAGCCCGGACCUCGGGCGCACUUCACCAAACCCACAGGCCCUGCUUUGGGCGCAGAGCCGGCACCUGGCCUGCCAGGACGUGGCUCUGGCUCUCGAGCCAUCUGGAGGGCAGCGCAGUUCCUAGGGUUGCACGGCACCGAGGUUACUAAUCAUCAGAUUUCCAUCCCUCCCCAUAAUUUUACAAGUCUCCCCCACCCACUAAAAGCCAAAUCAAGCUCUUCUCACUUUUUAAUUUCUAUUAGUGCUUCCUGGUUGUACUUCUCUGCUAACCUUGGGCAAUAAUUAAGAUAGCAAAUAAGCCAAACAAGAGGUCUGGCACUUGCUUAAAACAAAG